GAUUCACAUCUCAAUUGUCCAUUA
Molecule: non-coding RNA, 24 nt
Filed under: Arabidopsis thaliana (thale cress)
Lineage: Eukaryota; Viridiplantae; Streptophyta; Magnoliopsida; Brassicales; Brassicaceae
Source: RNAcentral